CUGUGCUUUCCGUCUCGGUCAUUCGUUCUGUCCAUAGACAGUUACAGAAGGAUUCAGUCAGCGGUUUUUUUAUCCAGCAUAGCAGGAGAAAGAAAAACUCGAGAUUAAGAAUCCCUUCAUCUGAAGACCUCUCUUUGGACUCUGGCAGUUUUUGUGUGUCACCGCUUGACUGUGGAUUCGGCUUUGAAGUGGAGAUGAUGGAUGAGCCGAUUCCUGAGGCAGACAGACAGAGAUCGUACAAAAUGAUGGCGUGUUAAACCAAAACAGGUGACACGUUAAGAGAAACAAUCCAGCAUGGCAGCGCUGAACAGACCUUGUAUCGUACACGCCGGGGGUCCGACACGACUGUCCGGAGCAGGACUGCAGCAUCAUCAGCCGGUGGUUCAUCUUCUCCAGGACUUCCUGGUCGAUGGUCUUUGCGAUGUUGGUCAGCUGGUAGGGGUCUGCGGUCAUGUUGUAGACUUCUACAAACACCUGCAGGGGGGGGCAAACAUCCAAACAAUGUCCCGUUCAAAGUGUACAC
This is a long non-coding RNA of Etheostoma spectabile (orangethroat darter), 523 nucleotides long. RefSeq lists it as uncharacterized. The record is from RefSeq and is a predicted model, not a curated record. Lineage: Eukaryota; Metazoa; Chordata; Actinopteri; Perciformes; Percidae. The transcript is spliced from 4 exons.